GUAAUAGCUCACUGGUCGAGUCGGCCUGCGCGGAAGAUGUAACGGGGCUAAACCAUGCACCGAAGCUGCGGCAGCGACGCUUAUGCGUUGUUGGGUAGGGGAGCGUUCUGUAAGCCUGUGAAGGUGUACUGUGAGGUAUGCUGGAGGUAUCAGAAGUGCGAAUGCUGACAUAAGUAACGAUAAAGCGGGUGAAAAGCCCGCUCGCCGGAAGACCAAGGGUUCCUGUCCAACGUUAAUCGGGGCAGGGUGAGUCGA
This 255-nucleotide ribosomal RNA is filed under the name Escherichia coli. RNAcentral describes it as "partial 23S ribosomal RNA". It matches the Rfam family "Bacterial large subunit ribosomal RNA", at positions 1134 to 1387 of the family's 2925-position model. The record is from RNAcentral. Lineage: Bacteria; Pseudomonadati; Pseudomonadota; Gammaproteobacteria; Enterobacterales; Enterobacteriaceae.